AGCUUAGUGGCGCACGGGUGAGUAACACGUGAGUAACCUGCCCCCGAGAGCGGGAUAGCCCUGGGAAACUGGGAUUAAUACCGCAUAGUAUCGAAAGAUUAAAGCAGCAAUGCGCUUGGGGAUGGGCUCGCGGCCUAUUAGUUAGUUGGUGAGGUAACGGCUCACCAAGGCGAUGACGGGUAGCCGGUCUGAGAGGAUGUCCGGCCACACUGGAACUGAGACACGGUCCAGACACC
This 236-nucleotide ribosomal RNA is filed under the name uncultured Akkermansia sp. Its description in RNAcentral is "partial 16S ribosomal RNA". It matches the Rfam family "Bacterial small subunit ribosomal RNA", at positions 89 to 339 of the family's 1533-position model. Lineage: Bacteria; Pseudomonadati; Verrucomicrobiota; Verrucomicrobiia; Verrucomicrobiales; Akkermansiaceae. The record is from RNAcentral.